GCACCCAUAGCUCAGCUGGAUAGAGUGCUGCCCUCCGAAGGCAGAGGUCGAAGGUUCGAAUCCUUCUGGGUGCGCCA
Molecule: transfer RNA, 77 nt
Filed under: Paracoccaceae bacterium
Lineage: Bacteria; Pseudomonadati; Pseudomonadota; Alphaproteobacteria; Rhodobacterales; Paracoccaceae
Also listed under: 3 other names
Description: Rhodobacteraceae bacterium tRNA-Arg
Rfam family: tRNA
About the family: Transfer RNA (tRNA) molecules are approximately 80 nucleotides in length.
Source: RNAcentral